GCCGGAUUAGCUCAGUUGGUAGAGCGACUGAUUUGUAAUCAGUAGGUCGCGGGUUCGACUCCUGCAUCCGGCACCA
Molecule: transfer RNA, 76 nt
Filed under: Rhodospirillaceae bacterium
Lineage: Bacteria; Pseudomonadati; Pseudomonadota; Alphaproteobacteria; Rhodospirillales; Rhodospirillaceae
Also listed under: 1 other name
Description: tRNA-Thr
Rfam family: tRNA
About the family: Transfer RNA (tRNA) molecules are approximately 80 nucleotides in length. Their secondary structure includes four short double-helical elements and three loops (D, anti-codon, and T loops). Further hydrogen bonds mediate the characteristic L-shaped molecular structure. tRNAs have two regions of fundamental functional importance: the anti-codon, which is responsible for specific mRNA codon recognition, and the 3' end, to which the tRNAs corresponding amino acid is attached (by aminoacyl-tRNA synthetases). tRNAs cope with the degeneracy of the genetic code in two manners: having more than one tRNA (with a specific anti-codon) for a particular amino acid; and 'wobble' base-pairing, i.e. permitting non-standard base-pairing at the 3rd anti-codon position.
Source: RNAcentral